CUGGCCCAACCUGAACUGUUUGUCUCCAUGGCAAAAUACAGGACAGCAGAAGCUUUUUUUAUGACGUUUCUCGUUUUGAUCACAUUUUCAAUAUCACAGAACCAAGUGCCUCCUGUAGUGGACAGAAGUUCACAUGUAGAAGAAAUCAUUAAUGAGAAUGGCAAAACAAGAAACUGGUCUUACAGUGGCUCACUACUAGAAAGCGUUUUCAUCCGUACAACUGCGCUUCACAAGAGCAAGCCACAG
Molecule: long non-coding RNA, 246 nt
Organism: Erpetoichthys calabaricus (reedfish)
Lineage: Eukaryota; Metazoa; Chordata; Cladistia; Polypteriformes; Polypteridae
Exons: 3
Source: RefSeq, a predicted model, not a curated record